This 76-nucleotide transfer RNA is filed under the name Ruminococcus sp. RNAcentral's name for it is "tRNA-Gln". It matches the Rfam family "tRNA". Rfam says of the family: Transfer RNA (tRNA) molecules are approximately 80 nucleotides in length. Their secondary structure includes four short double-helical elements and three loops (D, anti-codon, and T loops). Further hydrogen bonds mediate the characteristic L-shaped molecular structure. tRNAs have two regions of fundamental functional importance: the anti-codon, which is responsible for specific mRNA codon recognition, and the 3' end, to which the tRNAs corresponding amino acid is attached (by aminoacyl-tRNA synthetases). tRNAs cope with the degeneracy of the genetic code in two manners: having more than one tRNA (with a specific anti-codon) for a particular amino acid; and 'wobble' base-pairing, i.e. permitting non-standard base-pairing at the 3rd anti-codon position. Lineage: Bacteria; Bacillati; Bacillota; Clostridia; Eubacteriales; Oscillospiraceae. The record is from RNAcentral. RNAcentral also lists the same sequence under 3 other names.
UGGGGUAUCGCCAAGUGGUAAGGCAGUGGACUCUGACUCCACCAUUCCGUAGGUUCGAAUCCUUCUACCCCAGCCA